UGAAAGCAGUGGAACAGAGAGAUGCAAGACCGAAUUAUCAGCAUGAAACAGCCUGAAAAAUGCUCUUCAGAAGGCAAUGACUGUAACGUUGAUAUGUGGACAUGUCUGAACAAUCUGGAUCAAGAGACGAUGAUGUAAGUGUAGCAAAGAUGAGAAGAAAUCUAGAGCAAGAUAAUGAAGGGAACCUGAAAUUUAUAACACAUAGGAGCAGAACUCAUUUCUUGCAUCUUUUAGCCAAACAAUUAAAUAUAAGUUUAGUAGUAAAAGAAAAUGUUGUUGAAUUUGCAAAAUACUUCUGUAACACCACAUUGCUUCAGGUUGACUGAAGAGAGCAGGAUUAAUUCUCCUCCAAGAAGUCUGUUGGAGUGGUUGGUUGUUCUGAACUCUUGAUUAAGAACUAGCCCAUUCUGAUGAGAAUUUGUGAAGAAAAUCAUGGCAAUAUAGAUAGAUGGUAUCCAAAGUAGUCAACAUUGGACUAAUGAGAAAUGUAGAAGAUUGGUUUCAGUAUAGUCAGCUUACUUCCAAAGCUUUGGACAAACUGCAGAAAGAUUGCCGCUAUAUUGUUGAUGCUUCUGAAAUUUGGAAAGAACUUUGAGACAUUGUUAUCCAACAACAAAGUUAAAUUGCAGACAGUAAAGAAGCGGAUGGAUCAAUCACUUAGCACACCUCAUUUUCUUGCCAAUAUUCUCAGUCCAGAGUACUAGGGUAGAUGCCACACUGGUGAAGAAGAUGCUGCUAAGACAUGGGCAUCUAAUAAUAACGUAUCAAUCAUGCCAGCCAUAAUUUUGGGGCUGGGCAUGAAGCAUUCAAGCAAUACAUGUUCGUUGAUAUUGUUUUAUAGAAAAUCAUAUCAAUGAACUGAUUGAGGUCACCAGAUAAGCACCUGGAACUAGAGUUUGUUGAAGUGCUAAAUCACCAUUUGACAGCAGUAGCCUCUUCUGCAGGCACAGAUGGACUAUUUUCUUCAUUUGGACUAAUUUAUGCAGAGUUGAGGAAAUCGCUUGGGAAUUAGUUAAGUUUUCGUGUUUAUUCUAUUUCAGUUAAUGAAUAAAAGUGAAGGGGUGGGGGUGUCUUGAAAUUUUCUGGUUUGAAAAGUUUGAAGGACAGCCUAAAUAGUUUACGAGACUGUCUCAUUUUCAAGAGACUUAGGUGAUUAGGAACCACAGUUGCCAAUCUUCACGUGGUAAAUAAGCACCCCAGCUUUCACAAGAAGCCAAAAAUCAAGCUAAUCCCAUUUCAAAACAAUGCCAAAACAAGCCAGUCCCAAAGAACCCCAACAUGUUAUGACUAGAUUUCCUCCUGGCGUGCAGACUGGGAUUGUGGUGGGCCCACUGUGCACCGCAUGGCUCUCUCCCCCUUGCCCCGGCUUUCCGGGAGCCGAUCCAAAAAAAAAAAAAAAAAAAAACUACAAGACCAGCAAGCUG
Long non-coding RNA from Gopherus evgoodei (Goodes thornscrub tortoise), 1424 nucleotides. RefSeq lists it as uncharacterized. The record is from RefSeq and is a predicted model, not a curated record. The transcript is spliced from 2 exons. NCBI's taxonomy places the organism in Eukaryota, Metazoa, Chordata, Testudines, Testudinidae.